UACAGAGGGGGCAAGCGUUGUUCGGAAUUACUGGGCGUAAAGGGCGCGUAGGUGGCCUGCUAAGUCGAACGUGAAAUCCCCGAGCUCAACUCGGGAACUGCGUCCGAUACUGGUAGGCUUGAAUCCGGGAGAGGGAUGCGGAAUUCCAGGUGUAGCGGUGAAAUGCGUAGAUAUCUGGAGGAACACCGGUGGCGAAGGCGGCAUCCUGGACCGGCAUUGACGCUGAGGCGCGAAAGCUAGGGGAGCGAAAAGG
Molecule: ribosomal RNA, 253 nt
Filed under: uncultured bacterium
Lineage: Bacteria
Description: partial 16S ribosomal RNA
Rfam family: Bacterial small subunit ribosomal RNA
Source: RNAcentral